Lagenorhynchus albirostris (white-beaked dolphin) is the source of this 1684-nucleotide long non-coding RNA. RefSeq lists it as uncharacterized. The record is from RefSeq and is a predicted model, not a curated record. The transcript has 2 exons. Lineage: Eukaryota; Metazoa; Chordata; Mammalia; Artiodactyla; Delphinidae.
AGCUGUUACAUGAGGAGCUGAAAGGAAGGGAGCAAGAGGGGAAAGAGAAAUGAUCUGGAAAAGGAUGAGAAGGAUGCCUGAGUGGGCAACAGGACUCUCCACCUGAUCUGCUUGGUGAUGCAGGAGGCAUUCUGAUUCGGCUGAUACCCACAGAGGUAACGCACAACACACCGCCUUACCUUAACUGCCACCCUUUAUUCCAUUCCUAAGCCUCACCCUGUCCUGCACCCCAAGCUUCACUCCAUCCUCAAACCCAGACGAAAGCCAGCUGCCAUGUUGGGGGCUGCCCUACGAGAGGCCCACGUCCAGGGAUCUGAGGGAGGCCAUCAGUCCAACACCUCAGGAAGACCAGACUCCUGCUUCAGCCAUCUGAGUGAGCGUGGGAGCAGCUCAUCCCCCAGGAGAGCCUUGAGAUGACCCCAGCCCAGGCUGAGCCGUGACCGCAGCCUUGUGAGAGAGUGGCCCAGUUCGUUCAUCUGCCCCUGGCUUCUCAACCCCCAGCAGUUGGGAGAUAAGCAAUGUUUCUAGCUUUAAGCUUCUAAAUUCAUCCCUGGUACAGUCAGUGAAGUGCAUUUUAGAACUCUGACUUUGCAUCUGACCACACACAUCUACUUUUGGGAUAGGAAAGGGUCAAAUGAAUUAAACGGUAGCACAUAAGAUGUGCACACGGUGCCGGGUAAAGAAGGAACUGUGGAAAACAGAUGAGACAUCAGUGAGUUCUCUAAGGCUAAUCUCAGCAGCUCCGAUUUCCACACCCCGGAAUCACACUUUGCUCCUACAGCCAAGCCUGAGUUGGCCAUCCACGGUGCCCACUCAGACCUGCUCCUUUCUGCUCUUAGACGCCAGCCACAGUCUCAGCUGGACCACAUCUCCUGUGCUUCAGAGUGGAUGAUGAUUACCCACCACGAAUAAUAAUAGGAUGUGCCUUUAUUUCAUCCAUCACCUGACCAGCGAGCAGUGCUAAGUUUCCACAGAUGCGAACACACUGAGCGCUGUCACGGCUCUCCUCACCAUCUGCCACACGUAACCACAGAACUCUGUGUGCCUGUCUGGUGCCGCUUGGGCAUGUGUCAAACAGAACCCAGAAAUUUGCAACCCAUUCCUUGCCCGGUGCUUAGCAACACAGCAUCCCUGCACCUAUGUCGAGAAUGCAGUGCACAAGCAAUGCGAGGAAAAUGUGACCUCAGUGGUUGCCAUAUGUGGAUUUCUUCCCUGGAAGCUUGUGAGUCACUAGGGCCUUCUGCUCGGCUCAACCCGCCCCCAUUCUUGGGGCACCAAGUCGGGAGAAGGGAGGAACAUUUUCAGGGAUAAUAAGCAUGUUUCGUGGCCAACUCCUCCAUCUGUUCCUCCGGCUUCUGUCUACAAGAAUGUACACAGGUUCUGCCGAAUGGAUGUGAGACUAGCCAAGGGCAGUGUGCGAUCAGCCAUUGCAGAUGGGGUCAUCGGGGACUGGGAACUGUCACUCUGCAAACAGUGAUGCUGAGAAGCACUCUUGAUACGGACCCUUCAUUUCUGGUCUAAGAGGGAACAGAUGACAAGUGAUGAAUUCACUGUGGAGGAAAGAAAGGAAAUGGCUUCAGAUUCAAUACUCUGGGGUCUCAAUGAAUGGUUGACUCAAAGCCUUUCUCAUUUGGUGUUUCAUGGGGGUUUUUUUAGAAGAAUAAAGCUGUUAGGUUAAUAAACA